GGCUGAUCUGAAUGCCGUGAGUUAUUUUAACUGAUUGUUUACAGGCAGUUACAGAUCGAACUCCUUGAACUACCCUUUCCCCUUUCUUUCUGCUGCACUUGGUUAGUCUUAA
This is an unclassified non-coding RNA of Microcebus murinus (gray mouse lemur), 112 nucleotides long. It matches the Rfam family "Y RNA". From Rfam's summary of the family: Y RNAs are components of the Ro ribonucleoprotein particle (Ro RNP), in association with Ro60 and La proteins. The record is from Ensembl. NCBI's taxonomy places the organism in Eukaryota, Metazoa, Chordata, Mammalia, Primates, Cheirogaleidae.